Molecule: ribosomal RNA, 460 nt
Filed under: uncultured bacterium
Lineage: Bacteria
Description: partial 16S ribosomal RNA
Rfam family: Bacterial small subunit ribosomal RNA
Source: RNAcentral
CCUACGGGAGGCAGCAGUGAGGAAUAUUGGUCAAUGGACGAGAGUCUGAACCAGCCAAGUAGCGUGAAGGAUGACUGCCCUAUGGGUUGUAAACUUCUUUUAUAUGGGAAUAAAAUGUUCCACGUGUGGGAUUUUGUAUGUACCAUAUGAAUAAGGAUCGGCUAACUCCGUGCCAGCAGCCGCGGUAAUACGGAGGAUCCGAGCGUUAUCCGGAUUUAUUGGGGUUAAAGGGAGCGUAGGGGGAUUGUUAAGUCAGUUGUGAAAGUUUGCGGCUCAACCGUAAAAUUGCAGUUGAAACUGGCAGUCUUGAGUACAGUAGAGGUGGGCGGAAUUCGUGGUGUAGCGGUGAAAUGCUUAGAUAUCACGAAGAACUCCGAUUGCGAAGGCAGUUCACUGGACUGCAACUGACACUGAGGCUCGAAAGUGUGGGUAUCAAACAGGAUUAGAUACCCUUGUAGUC